Long non-coding RNA from Oncorhynchus tshawytscha (Chinook salmon), 435 nucleotides. NCBI's taxonomy places the organism in Eukaryota, Metazoa, Chordata, Actinopteri, Salmoniformes, Salmonidae. The record is from Ensembl.
GGUGAAUUGACAUAGCAGGUUAGGUGAAUUGACAUAGCAGGUUAGGUGAAUUGACAUGGCAGGUUAGGUGAAUUGACAUAGCAGGUUAGGUGAAUUGACAUAGCAGGUUAGGUGAAUUGACAUGGCAGGUUAGGUGAAUUGAUAUAGCAGGUUAGGUGAAUUGACAUAGCAGGUUAGGUGAAUUGAUAUAGCAGGUUAGGUGAAUUGACAUGGAAGGUUUGGUGAAUUGACAUAGCAGGUUAGGUGAAUUGACAUGGCAGGUUAGGUUAGGUGAAUUGAUAUAGCAGGUUAGGUGAAUUGACAUGCCAGGUUAGGGGAAUUGACAUGGCAGGUUAGGUGAAUUGACAUAGCAGGUUAGGUGAAAUGACAUAGCAGGUUAGGUGAAUUGACAUAGCAGGUUAGGUGAAUUGACAUAGCAGGUUAGGUGAAUUGAUA